GCCGAAGUGGUGGAAUUGGUAGACGCGCUAGAUUCAGGGUCUAGUGGAGAGUAUCUCUGUAGGGGUUCAAAUCCCCUCUUCGGCA
RNAcentral lists this transfer RNA (85 nucleotides) under Candidatus Coatesiibacteriota bacterium. Its description in RNAcentral is "Candidatus Coatesbacteria bacterium tRNA-Leu". It matches the Rfam family "tRNA". From Rfam's summary of the family: Transfer RNA (tRNA) molecules are approximately 80 nucleotides in length. Lineage: Bacteria; Candidatus Coatesiibacteriota. The record is from RNAcentral.